UACAGAGGGUGCGAGCGUUAAUCGGAAUUACUGGGCGUAAAGCGCGCGUAGGCGGUUCGUUAAGUCGGAUGUGAAAUCCCCGAGCUCAACUUGGGAAUUGCAUUCGAUACUGGCGAACUAGAGUAUGGGAGAGGAAGGUAGAAUUCCAGGUGUAGCGGUGAAAUGCGUAGAGAUCUGGAGGAAUACCGAUGGCGAAGGCAGCCUUCUGGCCUAAUACUGACGCUGAGGUGCGAAAGCAUGGGGAGCAAACAGG
RNAcentral lists this ribosomal RNA (253 nucleotides) under uncultured Alkanindiges sp. Its description in RNAcentral is "partial 16S ribosomal RNA". It matches the Rfam family "Bacterial small subunit ribosomal RNA", at positions 524 to 776 of the family's 1533-position model. The record is from RNAcentral. Lineage: Bacteria; Pseudomonadati; Pseudomonadota; Gammaproteobacteria; Moraxellales; Moraxellaceae.